GACGAACGCUGGCGGCGUGCUUAACACAUGCAAGUCGUACGGUAAGGCCCUUUCGGGGGUACACGAGUGGCGAACGGGUGAGUAACACGUGAGUAACCUGCCCACAACUUUGGGAUAACGCUAGGAAACUGGUGCUAAUACUGGAUAUGUGCUCCUGCUGCAUGGUGGGGGUUGGAAAGCUCCGGCGGUUGUGGAUGGACUCGCGGCCUAUCAGCUUGUUGGUGGGGUAGUGGCCUACCAAGGCGGCGACGGGUAGCCGGCCUGAGAGGGUGACCGGCCACAUUGGGACUGGGAUACGGCCCAGACUCCUACGGGAGGCAGCAGUGGGGAAUAUUGCACAAGGGGCGCAAGCCUGAUGCAGCAACGCCGCGUGCGGGAUGACGGCCUUCGGGUUGUAAACCGCUUUCAGCAGGGACGAAGCUUUUUGUGACGGUACCUGCAGAAGAAGCACCGGCUAACUACGUG
This 465-nucleotide ribosomal RNA is filed under the name uncultured bacterium. RNAcentral describes it as "partial 16S ribosomal RNA". It matches the Rfam family "Bacterial small subunit ribosomal RNA", at positions 28 to 507 of the family's 1533-position model. The record is from RNAcentral.